RNAcentral lists this long non-coding RNA (470 nucleotides) under Homo sapiens (human). Its description in RNAcentral is "HSALNT0372108". Lineage: Eukaryota; Metazoa; Chordata; Mammalia; Primates; Hominidae. The record is from RNAcentral.
AGAACACGGUUCCACACCCCCACCCCCUCACUGCCCGCUAGAUUUACAGGGAUUCAACAGAGUUGGAUUGCUGAGAAUAAAAUUACGGAUUUCUCCAUAAUGGACACACGCACUUUUUGUUUGUGCUGUUUCCUUUAGAAUGGACGAUGAGUCAAAAUUGUUCGUUUAUGCUUCUUCACAGAAGGAUCUUCUGUGUCGUAGGAGGUGGCCUGCAGCAAUCUGGACAUUCAGUGGUCCUCCUGUGAUUAAUAGGUGAACGGAUGAGCUAUUCUGAUAAGAACUGGGGAACUUUUGCCAUUCAAAAGCAAAUAGAAGAACUGGGAGAUUCCUCAACUUAGCUUUUCUUUUUUUUGGUUCUAAAGUGACUGCGAAUGGAGGUAGAAGAGAAGAAAAGCUUUCAAAAACAUCUUCCAUUAAGAAAAAUAUGUAUCUUCAUGAAGACCUAUCUGAGUAAAAUUACUAAAACAUAA